AAGAGGGUCCCAACUAACAGAAACUGAAAGCAAUCUCUAUAAAAUUAACGAAACUUGCACAUGCAAAGCAUCAUUACUAUAGUCAAAGCAUGUGACAAUAGUAGUUACUUCAAUAAGUUCUUCCUUUUCUUCCUUACCAUCGGCUUACCAUCUUGACUGUCUCCAUAAUCUGUGUGUUAUAGUUAAGGGCUCGAAAGUUUCAUAUGAACGGGAAUUCUUAAAAAAGACCUCAGUCAUUCGUUUGUUUUGUAGGAGUCCAUUUGCAUUUUCUUCACUUUAGAUGAAAAGUGCUCAGGUUUAGCAAAUUUAAAGGAUCUUUUGUGUUCAAGGUAGCAAAAUAGGGACAAAAGUUGACCUACUUACAGGACUAUUCUAGUUAAGAACUCAAUAUUAGGUAGUAUUUAAUAUCCUCAUUACUUAUCUCCUUUGCUUUUAUUUAUGUUAAUUGUUAGUACAUAGUUUUCCUUUUGAACCUUUCUUUCAGUUUGAUGUUAUAACUAUACUAGACAAGGCUCAAAGGUUAUUUAGAUGUUUACAGUUUUUGGUUACUUUAUCAUAAUUUAUUAUUUGCAAACUAUAGUAAUG
RNAcentral lists this long non-coding RNA (585 nucleotides) under Nicotiana benthamiana. RNAcentral's name for it is "long non-coding RNA (NBEN_LNC004385)". Lineage: Eukaryota; Viridiplantae; Streptophyta; Magnoliopsida; Solanales; Solanaceae. The record is from RNAcentral.